This is a long non-coding RNA of Equus caballus (horse), 1585 nucleotides long. The record is from Ensembl. NCBI's taxonomy places the organism in Eukaryota, Metazoa, Chordata, Mammalia, Perissodactyla, Equidae.
AGACAGCAUAUUGCCUACGCAGCAUAGUUAACAAUGGGUGAGAUAAACAGCUAAAAGCUAUAAUCAGUAAUUGCAAAAAGGAGAAAACUUUAGUACCUAGAUACUUAAUCAUCAACGGCUGUUUGCUGGUUUCAAUCUCUGUUUGUUUUGUUCUAUAUAUAUCUAUGUCCAUUAGAGAUAUGAUAUUUUUCAACCACUGGAUGGUAUUACCAAAAUUAGUUUCUAAAAGAGCUCUAUAUAAUUGGCUUAAGGAUUCCUGGCAGCCUAACCAGGUGAUUAAAGAAGGUCAUCUCCUGCCUGGUGCAGAAACCUCAAGAUAUGUUGGGAGUCUCAAGAAGAGAGGCAUUCACCCAAAUCUAUAGGUAUUACAGGCAGAGUGUGAUGAAUGAGAACUCCACAAGGCUAGAGACUUUGCCUUGCUCAUUUCUGUGUCCCCGCUGCCUAGAACAGUGCUGGCCCACAGUAGAUGUUCAGUAAAGAUGAGUCAAAGGGACUAAUGAAGGAAGAAUACUGCACAACAGACAUGUUGGUGAAAUUGGUGGAGGAGGUAGAACUGGGAGCUACCAAACGGUGGAAUCAGGAUCCCAAAAGACCUCGAGAGCCACGCCUGAAGCUAAUAUUACAAGCAUUACGAUUUUACAUCAAGUUGGGAAGUACCCAAAAGCUGAAUCCGAGUCCAUGCAGAUUUUUCCAGAAGCCAGAGGACACCCCAGGGUGAGGAUCAUCUCCACCCGCUCUGUCUCAGCCACAGAAGGAAAAUGACGUGUCUCUGCGGGGCGCGAAGAGCAAGCUGCGCCGCUGGGAGCCCGCGGUCCCCUGCUCCAUCAGCAGGGCGCCUCUGGGUCUGUCAUUGUGGUGAAGCUGGGACCCGGCCUCCAGUGGGGCUACACUGCGUGGCCCCAGGCUAAUUCGGUACAGGUGCUGUGCCACUGCGUUGGGGUCCCCUCCCUGCAGGCUCUGACGGGCCAUCAUCUCGUCCUCCCCAGGGCUUCUCCCAUGCCUUGGCGGAAUGGCUUUGUGCCCCAACAAUGUGUAAAUGCCGAUGCUAUUUAACCCUUUGAAACUCUAAUUUUAUAAACAUAAUUCAUCUUAUCAAUCAUGCUAUUAUACAAUGUUUAUAAUAGAUCUAUUUUCUCUAUCUUCAUUGAGCAUCAUAAAGAUAUGUACGUUUCUAUGGACAAGAAUACACAGGCCAAAACCACAUGAGCAUGUACUUUACUUUUCCUUUAUUUCUAAAUUUAAAAUUCUUUGUUUGGAAAAUUUUCAGAUACAUCAAGUUUACUCCCUAACUACCUCAGUUGAGACUUAGAGGUCUCAAGUCAAUUAGGGAACCUUAGGAAAUGUGUUUUAAGUUGAUAUUAAAGAAAAUAUAAUCACCGUUAUUGUGACAAAUUUGCUGGAGAGACAACACCCAGGACAGUGAAGAUGGAGCGAUUCUCUAGGUUCAUGUAUUCUGCAGUGUUUUACACGAAGCCGUUAGUCGUUCAAUACACAUGCUUACAUCUACAGUCUUAAAUAUUUCAUGUAAGUAACAAGCACCUCUGACAAGUAUAAGGAAUUUGGUAUAUUCUAUUUAAUUAAGCUU